Molecule: ribosomal RNA, 465 nt
Filed under: uncultured bacterium
Lineage: Bacteria
Description: partial 16S ribosomal RNA
Rfam family: Bacterial small subunit ribosomal RNA (bases 48-465)
Source: RNAcentral
GGGGGGGGGGGGGGGGGGGGGGGGGGGGGCGGGGGGAACGAGGAGGGGCGGCGGGGUGGGUGGAUUAGUGGGGAACGGGUGAGUAACACGUGAGUAACCUGCCCUUGACUCUGGGAUAAGCCUGGGAAACUGGGUCUAAUACCGGAUAGGAGCGUCCACCGCAUGGUGGGUGUUGGAAAGAUUUAUCGGUUUUGGAUGGACUCGCGGCCUAUCAGCUUGUUGGUGAGGUAAUGGCUCACCAAGGCGACGACGGGUAGCCGGCCUGAGAGGGUGACCGGCCACACUGGGACUGAGACACGGCCCAGACUCCUACGGGAGGCAGCAGUGGGGAAUAUUGCACAAUGGGCGAAAGCCUGAUGCAGCGACGCCGCGUGAGGGAUGACGGCCUUCGGGUUGUAAACCUCUUUCAGUAGGGAAGAAGCGAAAGUGACGGUACCUGCAGAAGAAGCACCGGCUAACUACGUG